AUGGCUGGAAAUUUGGGAAGAGGAUAUGGAGGUCCUAGAUUCAAUCGUGGAGGUGAAGGGGGGUUUGCUAGAGGGAGAUUCAAGUACAGUAACAGGGGAGGUGGAUGGAAUGGAGGAAGAUUUACUACAACUGACAGAUUCGGCAGUUUUGGGAGAGGAAGUGGUAGAUUUGGUGUUGGAAAUGGGGGUGGCAGAGGAGAUGGAGAUGAAGACGAAUUCGCUGCAGAAGGAAGGGAAGAAAAUCUGAUUUGGCAAGCUAAGACAGGGAGGAAAGUGGCAGUGGAAGAGAGGAUUGAAAGAGCAAAUGGUGAGGGAGAGAGCUCUGGAAUGGAGAAGGGAAAGGACAAGGAUAUGAUGAUCCAGAAAGAGCAGAGUGCUCAGCAACAGCUACUGGCCUCUCUGCUCUCUCAGUUAGUGCAAGGACUGAGAGGAGGGGAGAAAGAGAUGAUAGAAGGAGUGAUUGGAAAACCUCUGGAGGUUCAGUCUGGUAGUGAUGGCAUGAGGAGAGAAGAGAAAAACGGAGAUCCCAUGCAGAAAGCUGACAAGAGAGUGGACCAAGACCCAGUGACGGAGACGAAGAAACAGGGGGGGAGAAGCAACUGGCAGUUGAAUUUAGACGAGGGAAAGAAGGGAAUGGAGAGACUUAACAAACAAGUAUGUGGUAAAUGCAAAGACCCAAGACACUCUACCAGGGAUUGUAGGGUGGGGCACUGCUUGAUAUGUGGAAGGGAUAACCAUAUUACUAGUGAAUGCAACUUGCUGAAACAGAUGAAACCAGUCCCCAAAUAUGUUGGAUAUGCUGCCAAAGGGCUGGGGAUCCUAUUGGUUCAAAGCUACAAAGAUGUGCUUGUAGCUGAACACACAAAUCCCUUAGGUGUGGUGAUCAUUAGAGAAGGAAAUAUUAAUGAAACUGAACUCACAAAGGCUAUGGGAGAGAUGUUUGAUUGGGGGUGGCAGUGGAGAGUUAAGGAGUUUGGGGAAAAUGGUUUCAUGAUGAGAUUCCCCAACAAGGCAAAAUUGGUAGAGCUGGCUAACUGUAAUGACUUCAAUCUGCUUGGGACAGGGGUGGUCAUUAAGGUCCAACCCUGGUCCCUGGACCAUCAAGCAAUGGGGAAAAUGCAUACUGCCUGGGUUAAGCUGAGCAAAGUGCCUGAUUGUUUCAGACACUUCUUGGGCAUUUGUGAAGUUUCUGCUGCAGUGGGGCCUGUGUUGGAAGUGGAUAUGGAUAUAGUUAAUGAAGAAAAAGUUAAGGUCAAAUGUGGAAUCAGAGAUGUGGAAAGAACUCCACCUCAAGUGGAAAUCAGUGCCCCUGAUCUACUCAUGUUCAGAAUCGGGGUGGAAGUGGAGAAGGUGGUGGAAAUUGGCUGGUAUAAAGAGGAUAAGAGGAAAAAUGAAAACACACAUAACCUAGAAGAUGGGGAUGGAGAAACAGAGAAUAGAAAGAGAUUCAGGGUGGAAGAUACAGAACAUAAAGGCAUUACACUAGGAUGUUUGUCUCUCAAACAAAGAGAGGAAGUAGAUGGAAAACUGGUCAAAAUGAAAGCACAAUUAGAAGAAAGCAUUAUACAAUGGCAAGAUGAGAUGUAUGCUGAGAGAAGGAAGUGGCAAAAAGAAAGUGACAUCAUGUUCAACAAGAUGAAGACCUUGGAAGAAGACAAAGCCAGACACAGUGCAUUGUGGGUUAAAGCUGAACAAAGAAUUAAGGAUCUUGAGUGCAAUCAACAAGCAAUGCAGAAAAAGAUCAAUCAACAACAGGAAGAGAUCCAAAAGUUAAUACAAGAGGCUAUUAACAGGGAACAAUAUGAGAUGGAGCUGACUAAUAUGGAUCUGGAAGAUUAUGAGAAGGAAACCCAAUAA
Molecule: ribosomal RNA, 1857 nt
Filed under: Triticum aestivum (bread wheat)
Lineage: Eukaryota; Viridiplantae; Streptophyta; Magnoliopsida; Poales; Poaceae
Description: partial small subunit ribosomal RNA
Source: RNAcentral